RNAcentral lists this ribosomal RNA (455 nucleotides) under uncultured bacterium. RNAcentral's name for it is "bacterial SSU rRNA". It matches the Rfam family "Bacterial small subunit ribosomal RNA", at positions 28 to 507 of the family's 1533-position model. The record is from RNAcentral.
GAUGAACGCUGGCGGCGUGCCUUAGGCAUGCAAGUCGAACGGAUACGAGUAAUCGUGUUAGUGGCAGACGGGUGAGUAACGCGUAGGAACUUGCCUCUUGGUGGGGAAUAACCCAGAGAAAUUUGGGCUAAUACCGCAUGAGAUCCACCCUAAAAAGUGGAUGAAAGGGCGUAACUGCUCGCCGAGAGAGAGGCCUGCGUCCUAUCAGCUUGUUGGUGGGGUAAUGGCCCACCAAGGCUAUGACGGGUAGCCGGUGUGAGAGCAUGAUCGGCCACAAGGACACUGAGACACGGGUCCUACACCUACGGGUGGCAGCAACCGGGAAUAUUGCGCAAUGGGCGAAAGCCUGACCCAGCGACGCCGCGUGGGGGAAGAAGGCCUUCGGGUCGUAAACCCCUUUUGCCGGGGAAGAAGCUCUGACGGUACCUGGCGAAUAAGCCACGGCUAACUACGUG